AACGAACGCUGGCGGCAUGCCUAACACAUGCAAGUCGAACGAGACCUUCGGGUCUAGUGGCGCACGGGUGCGUAACGCGUGGGAAUCUGCCCUUGGGUUCGGAAUAACAGUUAGAAAUGACUGCUAAUACCGGAUAAUGUCUUCGGACCAAAGAUUUAUCGCCCAGGGAUGAGCCCGCGUAGGAUUAGCUAGUUGGUGAGGUAAAGGCUCACCAAGGCGACGAUCCUUAGCUGGUCUGAGAGGAUGAUCAGCCACACUGGGACUGAGACACGGCCCAGACUCCUACGGGAGGCAGCAGUGGGGAAUAUUGGACAAUGGGCGAAAGCCUGAUCCAGCAAUGCCGCGUGAGUGAUGAAGGCCUUAGGGUUGUAAAGCUCUUUUACCCGGGUAUGAUAAUGACAGUACCGGGAGAAUAAGCUCCGGCUAACUCCGUGCCAGCAG
This 441-nucleotide ribosomal RNA is filed under the name uncultured bacterium. RNAcentral describes it as "bacterial SSU rRNA". It matches the Rfam family "Bacterial small subunit ribosomal RNA", at positions 29 to 514 of the family's 1533-position model. The record is from RNAcentral.